RNAcentral lists this ribosomal RNA (263 nucleotides) under uncultured bacterium. RNAcentral describes it as "partial 16S ribosomal RNA". The record is from RNAcentral.
CUGCUGCCUUCCGUAGGAGUCUGGGCCGUGUCUCAGUCCCAGUGUGGCCGUCCACCCUCUCAGGCCGGCUGCUGAUCGUCGCUUUGGUGGGCCGUUACCCCGCCAACUGGCUAAUCAGACGCGGGCCCAUCCUGUACCACCGGAGUUUUCAAAGGAUUACCAUGCGGUAUUCCCUAUUAUGCGGUAUUAGCACCUAUUUCUAAGUGUUAUCCCCCGGUACAGGGCAGGUUGCCCACGCGUUACUCACCCGUCCGCCACUAAGA